CUGUACUUGGUGUUACUGCGAAGGGGGGACGGAGAAGGCUAUGUUAGCCGGGCGACGGUUGUCCCGGUUUAAGCAUGUAGGCGGAGGUUCCAGGUAAAUCCGGUACCUUUUUAACGCUGAGGUGUGAUGACGAGGCACUACGGUGCUGAAGUAACAAAUGCCCUGCUUCCAGGAAAAGCCUCUAAGCAUCAGGUAACACGAAAUCGUACCCCAAACCGACACAGGUGGUCAGGUAGAGAAUACCAAGGCGCUUGAGAGAACUCGGGUGAAGGAACUAGGCAAAAUGGUGCCGUAACUUCGGGAGAAGG
This 308-nucleotide ribosomal RNA is filed under the name Citrobacter freundii. RNAcentral's name for it is "partial 23S ribosomal RNA". It matches the Rfam family "Bacterial large subunit ribosomal RNA", at positions 1439 to 1746 of the family's 2925-position model. Lineage: Bacteria; Pseudomonadati; Pseudomonadota; Gammaproteobacteria; Enterobacterales; Enterobacteriaceae. The record is from RNAcentral.